AGUCGAGCGGACUUCUUAAAAGCUUGCUUUUAAGAAGUUAGCGGCGGACGGGUGAGUAACACGUGGGCAACCUGCCUUACAGACUGGGAUAACUCCGGGAAACCGGAGCUAAUACCGGAUGAUCAAAUGGACCGCAUGGUCCGAUUGUAAAAGUUGGGAUUUAUCCUAACACUGUGAGAUGGGCCCGCGGCGCAUUAGCUAGUUGGUGAGGUAACGGCUCACCAAGGCGACGAUGCGUAGCCGACCUGAGAGGGUGAUCGGCCACACUGGAACUGAGACACGGUCCAGACUCCUACGGGAGGCAGCAGUAGGGAAUCAUCCGCAAUGGGCGAAAGCCUGACGGUGCAACGCCGCGUGAACGAUGAAGGUCUUCGGAUUGUAAAGUUCUGUUGUUAGGGAAGAACAAGUGCCGUUCGAAUAGGUCGGCACCUUGACGGUACCUAACCAGAAAGCCCCGGCUAACUACGUGCCAGCAGCCGCGGUAAUACGUAGGGGGCAAGCGUUGUCCGGAAUUAUUGGGCGUAAAGCGCGCGCAGGCGGUCUCUUAAGUCUGAUGUGAAAGCCCACGGCUCAACCGUGGAGGGUCAUUGGAAACUGGGGGACUUGAGUGUAGG
RNAcentral lists this ribosomal RNA (614 nucleotides) under Bacillus sp. LCP69. RNAcentral's name for it is "bacterial SSU rRNA". It matches the Rfam family "Bacterial small subunit ribosomal RNA", at positions 60 to 652 of the family's 1533-position model. The record is from RNAcentral. Lineage: Bacteria; Bacillati; Bacillota; Bacilli; Caryophanales; Bacillaceae.